CUACGGGGCGCUGCAGUGAGGAAUUUUGCGCAAUGGGGGAAACCCUGACGCAGCAACGCCGCGUGAGUGAUGAAGGCCUUCGGGUCGUAAAGCUCUGUCAAGUGGGAAGAACCUAUCCAAGGGUAAUAUUCUUGGGUACUGACGGUACCACUGAAGGAAGCACCGGCUAGCUCCGUGCCAGCAGCCGCGGUAAUACGGGGGGUGCAAGCGUUAUUCGGAAUUAUUGGGCGUAAAGGGCGCGUAGGCGGUUUUGUUAGUCAGAUGUGAAAGCCCGGGGCUCAACCCCGGAAGUGCAUUUGAUACUGCAAGACUUGAGUAUGGGAGAGGGAAGUGGAAUUCCUGGUGUAGAGGUGAAAUUCGUAGAUAUCAGGAGGAACAUCUGUGGCGAAGGCGACUUCCUGGACCAAUACUGACGCUAAGGCGCGAAGGCGUGGGUAGCAAACAGGAUUAGAUACCCGCGUAGUC
RNAcentral lists this ribosomal RNA (465 nucleotides) under uncultured bacterium. Its description in RNAcentral is "partial 16S ribosomal RNA". It matches the Rfam family "Bacterial small subunit ribosomal RNA", at positions 339 to 795 of the family's 1533-position model. The record is from RNAcentral.